Long non-coding RNA from Sinocyclocheilus anshuiensis, 1427 nucleotides. NCBI's taxonomy places the organism in Eukaryota, Metazoa, Chordata, Actinopteri, Cypriniformes, Cyprinidae. The record is from Ensembl.
AUUGUGCAAGUUCUACAAUGAAUAUAUUUCACUGACCGGCAGGGUUGUGUUGACACUCAUUUGGGUGUGUCUGCAGUAUAUCUAGGACUGACACAUUUCUCCAAACUAAUUUGGAACAGAGAAGGACCUGAAGACGAGACGAGAUUUGUGAGAUUUCACUACUUUUAUCAUCACUGCAUUUUCACUGCUAAUAAGUUGAACAUAAUGGUUCAAAAGACGAUGGUCUUUCUCUUCAUGCUGAUUGGAUGGUCACAGACUUUUCCGUACCACAAUGUCCCCACUGAGGAUAAAGUAAUGAAAGAUGCUGACAAGAUAGAAAGAGAAAGAAGAGAUGUUAUGCAGAGUGGUACUGAUUUUACUCCACCAGUGUGCCGUGUGGUAAAUGAGAGUUUGGACUGUUCUUCAUCAGGUGGAAAUGAAACCUGGGAAGUGAAUUAUAUCAUGUCAGAUGGUGCUGGUUCAGGAAUUGAUUCCCCCCUUUUUUCUGCUGCCAUUGACUGUUGUGAAGGCAACAUUACCUUUUUUAAUAUUUUAAAUGUGACUGUAGAUGAAAAUGGCUACAAUGCAACCACUGUGAAAUAUACUGGUCCUUGCUGUUUCCAUAAUGUGGAGAUUUCUGUGGUGGACAAGGCAGGAAACAAGGCAAAGUGCCCUUUUAAUAUCAAACACCCUGUGACACCGUGCAAACACCCUUUGACCACAAUCAGCCCAAUGACGGUCAGUCCCACGUCCAGCAGCUUCACCACAACCAUCUCUCUUUGGUCAAGUUUAAUACUGAUGGCACUUAAAUCUAUGUUGCUUUAACAUAGAUGUGCACUUUCUGUAAAUAUGCACUUUAUGGAAGUAUUUUUUUUAUUCUUUUUCUCAUUUAUUUUUCUCGUGUCGUUUCUAUAAUUAUGUAUCUGGAGCAUUAGAAAAUACAGUCAAACUUAUGAAAGUAGUAUGUAUUACAUGGUCUAUCUUUCAUUGUACUGUAUAAAGUGCUAAAUAACCUUUAAAAAACAUUUGUUUUAAUUUAAGCUCAUGUACAGUACUGAUCUCAGAUUCAUGCUCUUUAUUUCAAGCAGUUCUAUUACAGUGCUCACUGUGGGGGAAUUGAUUUAAAAGACCACCCUGACUUGUGUGUAAGAGAGGCAUUUAAGCCUACUAUUUAUUUUCCAGACAAGUUUGCAUAUACAUAUACUGCAAGAUAUACAUCAUUUUUAAAAAUGAAGAGGAAUCAUAAACAAGCCCUUAUUAACACCCUGUCUAUGGACAUAAACAGUGUGACAUUACAGUAAAUAGAUGCACCAUUCUCUUUCUGAUGUACUUCACACCCUUGUGUGUCUUUCUGAUGUACUUCACAAGCUUGUGUUACUUCUGUCAUAAAGGACAACUGGACAUUUUCAUUGACGUGUUUAAAGAGCUUCGUCCUUAUUACAAAUUCA